RNAcentral lists this unclassified non-coding RNA (4461 nucleotides) under Pogonomyrmex barbatus (red harvester ant). RNAcentral describes it as "uncharacterized LOC105425558, transcript variant X8". The record is from RNAcentral. Lineage: Eukaryota; Metazoa; Arthropoda; Insecta; Hymenoptera; Formicidae.
UAUAAUCUCCCACUCGAGCGUCGCGCGGCCAUUCCAUUUCGUGAGCCCUCAUCGAGCGUGUGGGCAGGAUCUCAUGUGUUUGUACAUGGGUGCCCUAGAGAACGGUUGCUGCGACUGAAUGAUCAGCCAAGCUUAAACUAAAUACAGUCUCACCGUUUGAAAUGGCAACGGACACGAGUGGGAAGAAAGGAGUAGAAAGAAAGAGAGGGAGAGAGAGAUAGAGAGAGAGGGAGAGAGAGAGCGAAAGAGUAGCUGUAAUGCAGAUGCAAGCGAUGUCUCAGGAUUAUGCGCGCGCAUAUACAGUGGCUCUCCUGCUUGUCGCCGAUUUGAUGCUGUUUAGGAUCAAAGUAAUAAAACAAAGGAUCUCAUUUACUGUAAGUUGUAAGUCAUUGUGAUACUUUUUGUAUUAAGUCUAUUUGUAAAUAAUAGAAAACUGUGAUACAGAUUAAAUAAGAAGAUGAAGCGAAGAGUAUUGACAACAAUGUAAGAUAAAUAAAUACAUUUUACAAAUAACAAUGUAAAAUAAUUCUUUUUCAACUUCUCUAUUUACCAAAUUAAGUAUUAAUACAUCAAUCCUUUUCAGUAUGGCACAAUAGACGUCAUAGAAAAUACACAUCUUAUUGCGAACAGAGGGCUAUCGACUGUCAACAAGGACGACGUCGGUGUCGAUGUCGGCGUCGUCAUCGGCUUAGAAAACUUGUACCUAUAAGAUUCCAAUGAACGAAAAAGAGAAAACUAGAGGGGAGUAUAUUUGCGUUUUGAUGGAGAGGGAGGGAAAAAAUCUUUGUUUCUAGAGACUGGUCGAAUCGGAGUUACCCUCGGAACGAAUUAUCCUCUGCACGAAUCAUCGUAAUAAUGAACUCUGCGUGAUAACUACAAUGAUGAGAAAUGGCUUUCAUGCGGUGAGCUUCCAUUCCCCCGAAUCGGUUGGUUUCCCAGGUCCAGAACAGAUCCAUUCAUCUCAUUGAAUAAUAUAAGGUCUUCAGAUGUGGAAACACGAUCCCGUACAGGUUACAAGUAUAUUCCAAGUAAGGUAACUCGCUCAUUCAAGCAUGUGAAUAAAUCUGUUUAAGAGUUACCGAAAGUUUCUCCUGUUUAAUAUUUGAUGAAAAAAAUGUCACAUUUGUUUGGCGUUGCCAUAAUAAUGUGUCCAUAGAUUUGCGCAAUUUUCGGCCAUGCCAUUUUUGGCCAUACUCGAACCGUGAUCGGGAUAGAAUGUUAAUGCGUGUGUUUUAGACAUUCAGAGAGCGGGAAUUACUGGAAACAGCGAGCGAAGGAUGCGAAAGAGUGUUGAUUAAGAGAGAGUAUAUGCGCAAGGAUACAUUGUGUAUGAGAAAUCAUAAAAGUAUUAGGCUUGAUUCGGUGAUGUUCAUUUUAAUUCAAAUAGAAUUUUAUCUUUAUUCAUUUGAUCAAAAUAGACAAUAAUAUGUUUUUCAAUAAACUCAAUAUCGAAUUAAUGUCAUAAUGUUAUAAAAUUAAUGUUAUAAAAAAAUCUGAAGAUUCGAGAAUUCUGCAGUUCGAGAUAUCCCCUAAACAUAGGAAUCUUAAUCUAUUCUUUUUAUCCAAAAACUUCUAAAAUCGGAGUAUAGGACAUUCGAAAAGAAUUUUAGGCAUUUUUAUCACCGGAUUUCAAUCUUAGCCUACUGCUCUAAGGAUUUAAAUUCAGAUAUAAACAAUAUAUAAAGAGAGACAAAGUCAUGAUUAAAUAAAGUGAGAGCAAGAAAACAGAUACUAUUACAGACAUACAACUCGAAUAGCAAGAGUAGUAUAAAUAUCGAUUGGUAACGCUUUGUGUUAACUCUAUUCUGGAUAAAUAUAAUAUGUAUGUAUUUGGAUUUAUAUGGAUACACUCUAGAAAAAUUUAGUUGCUAACUAGAUAUGCUUGUUGAUACUAACUAGACGUUGAUUUCAAUUUGAUAAUACAGGCAUUUGUUUGGUAAGAAUUAAUAUAUAUUUAACUUUAGAAAAAUGCAAUUUUCUAUUGAAAUUUCUUUUAUAAAGUUGAAGGGAGAAAUAUGUCGAAAAAUAUUGGAGAGCCGAAGGAAGGAGGGGGUUAGAAAUAAGAUCUUUUUGAUUAACAGAAAACUGUAUGCAUUUGGAAAAACUCGGCCCAUUCGACCAAUGAAUAAUGAAGAUGAUAGUUUAAAUAAUAUAAGAUUGUACGUGGCGGUCCCGUAUAAAAUGGAUUUUGUUGGAGGAUAAAAUGCAGUCUGUCGAGCGUGAUCAUCGUGGAGAUUCUAGACGGUUUGAAAGAAAGAACGAGAGUAAAAUUUGCUAAUAUAACUAUAGCUAUUGUUCCUUAUUACGAUUGUAAUAUCUAUUGUUUUGCAUUUCGUUAUAUAUUGCAUUUUGUUUUGCUCGGUUUUCUUUGUGUUUUACACAGCAGGCGGCAGAACGAAAGCAUCUAAAUCUUUCACAGAUUAAAAAGAACAACCCUGACAUAUUCACUAUUUGCACAUUCGGCAACCUAAGAUGCUCUGCGAUCAUCAGGAAAUAAUGCUGGGAUCGUGUGUCGUGUACGAAUGAUAAAGGUAACGAAAGAAAAAGGUCUUUGAUGAUCCUUGAUCUUUGUACCUUGCGCGCAUGCAAAUGUGAGAGGGGAUUGGGGUGGGACAAAACAAUGUUUUUAUGAGUCAUAGGAAAUCACUACUUCACUCGAUGAUAAUGAAAGGAAAUAUGCUUGGAAGAUGUUUCGAGAUGGUGAUAAGAAGCUUUCCACAAGAUUGCUAGGGAUAAUCGUGUCUCAUGCUUUGAAUGUACCAGGCUAGUUGAAAGAGAUGUAUAUUCACUGGAAUCUAUAAAAUUUUUUCGAAACUUCUACAAAGAUGCGCUGAGCCCACAGAUCUACAAGUUUCAAAAUCUUGGAACGAAUCAAGUUUAAGGAUAUAGAAUUUAAACCAAUAAUCCACGCAAGUAGUUAAGGAUAUGAAAGUUUAAUAAUUCAAGACUUUAAGAAUUUGAAGCACAUUUGGAAUUUUUAAGGACAUCUGGGAAUCCGAAGACAGUUUUGGACUAUUUUUUUCAAAUCAUUUUAUUUUCAUUGUUACUUUAAAAUGGAAUUAUCGUAAUGUGAUUUGAAUACACAUUCUUAAAAAUUUUUUUAUUUGUAGAAGAGAUUGAAGAUAUAUUAUUUUCACACACAUCACACACAUAUACACGUAGAAUAAAAAAAAAUCUAUUCAAGUAAUAAAUACUGAAUCUUUUAAUCUAAAGGAAAGUAUAACAUGAAAAAAAGAUUUAUUUUUUGAAGGUAUUGAUUUUAAAUCUCGAAAGAUGAAAAAGAGAGGGAGAGAGAAAGAGUCACAGAAUGAGUAAGACAAUUCAAUCGUUUAAGGCAAUAAUAUGUACAUAAUGUGACGACGUAUACUAUGGUUCUUUAAGGAAACAGAGAUAUACGAAAAUUUAUAUAUUAGUUGGAAAGAAAAUGAUAAAAGCGUUGAAGUUCAGCUUGGCGAAAAAUUUAGCAAGUUAUGUUGCAAAAAAUUUUAUUCCAUCUUCAAUGAAGAUUUGAUCUCUUCAAGAUAUAUAUUUAAGUUUACAACAAAAAAGGCGAAUUUUUAUAAAAAUUGUGAAAACACUAUUUUUUCGAAGAGGAUGCAAAUUACAAAGUUUGAUCCAUAUUAAUUAUAUGGAUUUGUGUAAACUGUAUAGCCUUUGAGUGAUGGGUUUUAAUACAAGUAAUUGAGAAGAGGAAAAUGAGAUGACAGUGAUAACAAUUAAGAGAGAGAAAGAAAGAACAUGUUAAUAACAAUACAAUAAUUUAUUAAGAAAAAUAUGUGGAAUUCAGCAAUAGAGAGAGGCACAAACGUAGUCGAUCAAUUAUCUAUCAUCGGAAUUCGAUGUUGUCUCCGAUCAUACGAGCGUACAAGUUUGGUCUAGGAUUUCUUUGUCAUUGGCUGCUUUUGAAAUCUUGAAAGGUUUUUCUUUUCCUGGAAACAUGUCUUUUGUGAUAUAUGCCAUUCAUCAUCCGCUAGAUCAGUGAUAUUCUUUAUUAACUAAAACCUCGUCGAAAAAAGGAAUUACUUUGGGUCUUCAACGCAAUUGUCACAGGAUUUGCAAUGAAUUGGAUUUUUUCAAGAGCAUUGAUAUAAGAUAUGCAAAGUUUCAGAGAAAUAACAUCUUUUUUUAAAAAUAAUUUAUUUUUCUAAACACUAUAUUUGCCCGCGCGCAUAUGAAGAACUAUGGAAGAAAAAAUUGUAGACGAGAUGAAAAAAUUUAAAAAAUAUUGGGGGACUUUUCACACAAUUUUACACUUUUUGCACAAUGGAAUUAUUAUUGCGAAUCUUUGUCACAGAAGAGAACAUCGCGAUUUCGUUGCAGAAAAUAAUUAUGAGAGAUUUCAUCGGAAAAAAAAUUUUACGGAUUUACGUAGCACAAAAAAUAAAAAACUUCACACAAAAAGAUCCAUUGUGCGACUCGUUACAGGAAAGAAUCGUUGCUGGAUUUUAUUGCAAAAAAAAA